AUUGGUUGCCAAACUUGUCGAAUGUCACACUAAUCAAUGCGCUCUCUCGCUCUCUCUCUCUCUCACACACACUCCUCUCACUCGUGAAUGAAUUCCUAGAAGUCAUCAAUUCUUCACUAUUUUCCACCCCUUUCAAUUCUUCUCUGCGGUUACUUCAAUGCUGCAGCUUUGUUCCUCUCUAUUUUUCUUUGCUUAAUUCCUAACUAUUGACUCCUUCUCACCAUUAAUACCCUCGAGAUUUCAAUCUGUAACAUCAGGGAAUUACCCUCUGUACAAUAUAUUUAUGCACAGAAAUUAAAAGGGGUUUGUUGUAGAUGUCAGAGAUGAUUACCAUGAGCCUAAAAUCCAAUCUUUUUGCUACCCCAUAUAGUGGAAGAUAUGGGGUAAGCCAUUUUUGGUCUCAGCAGAAAUUGGUCAACUCCAAGUCACACACAAGUCAGAGGGUUGGUCGAGUUUAUUGCGAGUCUAAGACUGCAGAAAUGGAAAUCAGGAAGUGCUCGCCUUUUCUAGAAAGUGAAUUGUUGUCCGGUAAUGGUGGGUUGCCCUUGACAGAGUGGAGAACUGUUCCCGACAUUUGGCGGACUUCGUCAGAGAAAUUUGGUGAUCAUGUAGCAGUUGUGGACCCAUAUCAUGAUCCUCCUACAAGCAUGACUUAUAAACAGCUUUGUCAGGAGAUUGUGGAUUUCUCUGAAGGUUUGAGAGUUGUUGGGCUAAAGCCAAAUGAGAAGAUUGCACUCUUUGCUGAUAAUUCAUGUCGAUGGCUUGUUGCAGAUCAAGGUACAAUGACAAGUGGGGCUAUCAACGUUGUGAGGGGUUCAAGGUCAUCAGUUCAAGAGCUAUUGCAAUUAUAUAGCCACUCUGAAAGUGUCGCUCUUGCUAUUGACAAUCCUGAGAUGUACAACCGGAUUGCAGACACCUUUGGUUCCCAUGCAGCUGUACGAUUUGCUAUUUUACUUUGGGGAGAGAAAUCAAGCCUUGGAAGAGAAGCCGUGCAGGGAUAUCCUGUAUAUACUUAUAAGGAGAUUAUAGAAUUGGGUCACAAGAGUCGUGUGGAUCUAUUUGAUUCUGAAGAUGCCAGGAAACAAUAUUCAUAUGAGGCAAUCAACUCUGAUGAUGUGGCUACAAUUGUCUAUACCAGUGGAACCACCGGUAAUCCAAAAGGUGUCAUGCUUACGCAUAAAAAUCUGCUUCACCAGAUUUUGAAUUUGGGGGAGAUUGUACCUGCUGUACCUGGGGACAGAUUUCUAAGCAUGCUUCCGCCUUGGCAUGCAUAUGAGCGUGCUUGUGAAUAUUUCAUAUUCACACACGGAACAGAGCAAGUGUACACAACUGUGAAAAAUUUGAAGGAAGAUUUGCGGCGUUAUCAGCCACAUUACUUGAUAAGUGUUCCUUUAGUGUAUGAGACAUUAUACAGUGGAAUUCUAAAGCAGAUCAAUUCAAACUCUGCUGCUCGUAAACUCAUUGCCCUAUUAUUUUUAAGGAUCAGUAUGGCUUACAUGGAGGCAAAAAGGAUUUACGAGGGGAAAUGUUUAAUGAAGGACACCAAGCAACCUUCAUAUAUUGUAUCAUUGCUCGACUGGUUGUGGGCUAGAACUAUUGCUGCUAUAUUAUGGCCGCUGCAUAUGCUGGCGAAGAAAAUUGUUUACAGUAAAAUACACGCAAGCAUUGGUAUUUCAAAGGCUGGCGUAAGUGGAGGUGGUAGUCUUUCUUCACAUGUUGACAAGUUCUUUGAGGCAAUUGACAUAAAGAUUCAGAAUGGAUAUGGUCUGACUGAGUCAUCUCCUGUGGUUGCUGCCCGUCAUCCUGCGUGUAAUGUACUCGGCUCAGUUGGGCCUCCCAUUCGGCAUGUAGAAGUAAAAGUUGUAAAUGCAGAAACAGAUGAGGUCCUUCCUCCAGGCUCAAGAGGCAUUGUAAAAGCCAGAGGGCCACUAGUAAUGAAGGGCUACUAUAAGAAUCCGUCGGCAACAAAACAAGCUAUUGAUGAGAAUGGAUGGCUGAACACUGGUGAUCUUGGUUGGAUUGCGCCUGAUCAUUCUGNGAAUAAAGAUUUUGACCUAUUGGCCUUAUUAUAAUUGCAAUUCAGAGCUUUGAACUUUAUUUUUAUGUAUUUGCCUCCUGGGGAAAAACUAGGUGAGAAUGUUGAACCAUCAGAGAUUGAAGAAGCUGCAAUGGGAAGUCGUCUGAUUCAGCAGAUUGUUGUCAUUGGCCAGGAUCAACGACGCCUUGGAGCUAUAAUUGUACCAAAUAAGGAGGAGGUUCUGUUAGCAGCUAAAAGAUCAGCUAUUGUGGAUUCUGAAACCACUGAACUUAGCAAGGAAAAAGCAGUUGGCCUAUUAUACGAGGAGUUAAGAAAAUGGACUUCAGGUUGCUCAUUUCAAGUUGGACCUAUCCUUAUUGUCGAUGAACCUUUCACGAUUGAUAGUGGCUUACUAACACCAACCAUGAAAAUCAAGAGAGACAGAGUUGCAGCUCUUUACAAAGAGCAAAUUGAGAACUUGUACAAAUGAUUCCUGUCUCUGGAAUCCCCACUUUUUUUUUCUAUGAAAGCUGCAAGAUCUGAAUUGCUACCGGCGAACGGGUUUUCAGAACUUUUCCAUAAAAAAAUGUGUUUGUAAUGAUAAUGUAGUGAUUGAAAUUGAAUAGAUCUAAUAGAACUGUAUAUUUAUGAGGAUGUAAAAGUUGUAAUUGAAGGCAAAUUUAACUACUUUUGUACCACAAACUUGUUCAAUAAGCAUGUAAUAUUGUCUCCUGAAAAAUAAAUUACAUUCAAUUUUGGGAGA
Nicotiana tabacum (common tobacco) is the source of this 2780-nucleotide non-coding RNA. The record is from RefSeq and is a predicted model, not a curated record. Lineage: Eukaryota; Viridiplantae; Streptophyta; Magnoliopsida; Solanales; Solanaceae.